Molecule: ribosomal RNA, 253 nt
Filed under: uncultured bacterium
Lineage: Bacteria
Description: partial 16S ribosomal RNA
Rfam family: Bacterial small subunit ribosomal RNA
Source: RNAcentral
UACGUAGGCAGCGAGCGUUGUUCGGAGUUACUGGGCGUAAAGGGUGUGUAGGCGGUUGUUUAAGUUUGGUGUGAAAUCUCCCGGCUCAACUGGGAGGGUGCGCCGAAUACUGAAUGACUCGAGUGUGGGAGAGGUGAGUGGAAUUCCUGGUGUAGCGGUGAAAUGCGUAGAUAUCAGGAGGAACACCGGUGGUGUAGACGGCUCACUGGACCAUAACUGACGCUGAGACACGAAAGCGUGGGUAGCAAACAGG